AGGAAAUAGAUACCCGGGUAGUCCACGCUGUAAACGAUGAACACUAGGUGUAGGUGAUGUGAAAAGUUAUCUGUACCGAAAGCCAAACGCGUUAAGUGUUCCGCCUGGGGAGUACGGCCGCAAGGCUAAAACUCAAAGGAAUUGACGGGGCCCGCACAAGCAGCGGAGCGUGUGGUUUAAUUCGAUGCAACGCGAAGAACCUUACCCAGGUUUGACGUGCACGUAGUAGUGAAGCGAAAGCGGAACGACCCUUCGGGGAGCGUGCACAGGUGCUGCAUGGCUGUCGUCAGCUCGUGUCGUGAGAUGUUGGGUUAAGUCCCGCAACAAGCGCAACCCCUGUUGCUAGUUACAAGUGUCUAGCAAGACUGCCGACAUCAAGUUGGAGGAAGGUGGGGAUGAUGUCAAGUCAGCAUGGCCUUUAUAUCUGGGGCGACACACACGCUACAAUGGGCAGUACAAUGGGCAGCGAAGGGGUUGACCUGGAGCGAAUCUCAUCAAAGCUGUUCGUAGUUCGGAUUGUAGGCUGC
Molecule: ribosomal RNA, 527 nt
Filed under: uncultured bacterium
Lineage: Bacteria
Description: bacterial SSU rRNA
Rfam family: Bacterial small subunit ribosomal RNA
Source: RNAcentral